UCCCUGGUGGCUCAGAUGGUAAAGCGUCUGCCUUCAGUGUGGGAGACCUGGGUUCGAUUCCUGGGUCGGGAA
This 72-nucleotide transfer RNA is filed under the name Bos taurus (domestic cattle). It matches the Rfam family "tRNA". Rfam says of the family: Transfer RNA (tRNA) molecules are approximately 80 nucleotides in length. Their secondary structure includes four short double-helical elements and three loops (D, anti-codon, and T loops). The record is from Rfam by way of RNAcentral. Lineage: Eukaryota; Metazoa; Chordata; Mammalia; Artiodactyla; Bovidae. RNAcentral also lists the same sequence under 4 other names.